Molecule: unclassified non-coding RNA, 292 nt
Filed under: uncultured bacterium
Lineage: Bacteria
Description: contains 16S-23S intergenic spacer region
Source: RNAcentral
UCCGGUUUGUCACCGGCAGUCUCGCAUGAGUCCCCAACUAAAUGCUGGUACCCGACUCUACGGGUCGCCGACCCUUUCGGGCGACUACUGCCAGCAUGUCAAGCCCUGGUAAGGUUCUUCGCUUUGCAUCGAAUUAAGCCACGCGCUCCGCCGCUUGUGCGGGCCCCCGUCAAUUCCUUUGAGUUUUAGCCUUGCGGCCGUACUCCCCAGGCGGGGUGCUUAAUGCGUUAGCUGCGGCACGGAAGUCUUGCGACCCCCACACCUAGCACCCACCGUUUACGGCUAGGACUAC